RNAcentral lists this non-coding RNA (89 nucleotides) under Clostridium carboxidivorans. RNAcentral's name for it is "Glycine sequence". It matches the Rfam family "Glycine riboswitch aptamer". Rfam says of the family: This family represents the bacterial glycine riboswitch. Glycine riboswitches usually consist of two metabolite-binding aptamers domains with similar structures in tandem. RNAcentral also lists the same sequence under 1 other name. The record is from RNAcentral. Lineage: Bacteria; Bacillati; Bacillota; Clostridia; Eubacteriales; Clostridiaceae.
GGAUGAAACCUUGGAGAGACUCUUAAUAGAGCACCGAAGGAGAAAGCCUUAAAGGCGAAACUCUCAGGUAAAAGGACAGGGGACAGGUA